UCCCCCUAGUGCUGUCUUGUGAUAGAGUUCUCACAAGAUCUGGUAGUUUGAAAGUGUGUAGCUCUUCUGCCUUUGUGUGCUUUCUCUCUCUCCUGCUUCCAAGUCAAGAUGUGCUGGCUUCUCCUUUGCCCUUCUGUCAUUAUUGUAAGUUUCAUGAGGCCUCGGAGCCACGCUUCCUGUAUAGCCUGCAGAACUGUUACUCAAUGUGAAGAUGACAACAAGGGUGAAGACUUUAAUGAUGAUCCACUUCCACUUAAAAAAUAAUAAAUAUAUUUUCUCCUCCUUAUGAUUUUUAACAUUUUAUUUUCUCUAAUUUGCUGUAAGAAUAUAGUGUAUAAUACAUAUAACAUGAAAAAAUAUGUUAAUCAACUGUUUAUGUUAUCAGUAAGGUUGGCAGUACACUACUAGAAGUUAGGAUUUUGGGGAGUCAAAAUU
This 435-nucleotide long non-coding RNA is filed under the name Homo sapiens (human). RNAcentral describes it as "HSALNT0394033". Lineage: Eukaryota; Metazoa; Chordata; Mammalia; Primates; Hominidae. The record is from RNAcentral.